Molecule: ribosomal RNA, 245 nt
Filed under: uncultured bacterium
Lineage: Bacteria
Description: partial 16S ribosomal RNA
Rfam family: Bacterial small subunit ribosomal RNA
Source: RNAcentral
UACGGAGGGUGCGAGCGUUGUCCGGAAUCACUGGGCGUAAAGGGCGCGUAGGCGGCUGGGGAAGUCAACGGUGAAAGCUCGGGGCUCAACUCCGAGUCGGCCGUCGAUACUCUCCGGCUGGAGCACAGUAGAGGCAGGUGGAAUUCCGGGUGUAGCGGUGGAAUGCGUAGAGAUCCGGAAGAACACCGGUGGCGAAGGCGGCCUGCUGGGCUGUUGCUGACGCUGAGGCGCGACAGCGUGGGGAG